This 148-nucleotide non-coding RNA is filed under the name Pan troglodytes (chimpanzee). Lineage: Eukaryota; Metazoa; Chordata; Mammalia; Primates; Hominidae. The record is from Rfam by way of RNAcentral.
GCCGGGCGUGGUGGUGCACACCUGUAAUCCCAGCUACUCGGGAGGCUGAGGCAGGAGAAUCGCUUGAACCCAGGACGUGGGGGUUGCAGUGAGCCUAGAUUGCACCACUGCACUCCAGCCUGGGUGACAGAGCGAGACUCCAUCUCAA